This 151-nucleotide ribosomal RNA is filed under the name uncultured bacterium. RNAcentral describes it as "partial 16S ribosomal RNA". The record is from RNAcentral.
CACGGAGUUAGCCGGUGCUUCCUUUGGAGGUACCGUCACCCUCGGCAAGCCGAGUAUUCGUUCCUCCCGACAGUGGUUUACAACCCGAAGGCCGUCAUCCCACACGCGGCGUCGCUGCGUCAGCCUUGCGGCCAUUGCGCAAGAUUCCCCA